This 40-nucleotide transfer RNA is filed under the name Alchemilla alpina. RNAcentral describes it as "partial transfer RNA-Phe (GAA)". Lineage: Eukaryota; Viridiplantae; Streptophyta; Magnoliopsida; Rosales; Rosaceae. The record is from RNAcentral.
GUCGGGAUAGCUCAGCUGGUANAGCAGAGGACUGAAAAUC